Molecule: unclassified non-coding RNA, 336 nt
Filed under: soil metagenome
Description: partial contains 5.8S ribosomal RNA, internal transcribed spacer 2, and large subunit ribosomal RNA
Rfam family: 5.8S ribosomal RNA (bases 1-120)
Source: RNAcentral
GAUGAAGAACGCAGUGAAAUGCGAUAAGUAGUGUGAAUUGCAGAAUUCAGUGAAUCAUCGAAUCUUUGAACGCACAUUGCGCCCCUCGGUAUUCCGUGGGGCAUGCCUGUUCGAGCGUCAUCUACACCCUCAAGCUCUGCUUGGUGUUGGGCGUCUGUCCCGCCUCCGCGCGUGGACUCGCCCCAAAUUCAUUGGCAGCGGUCCUUGCCUCCUCUCGCGCAGCACAUUGCGCUUCUCGAGGGGCUACGGCUCGCGUCCAACAAGCACAUUUACCGUCUUUGACCUCGGAUCAGGUAGGGAUACCCGCUGAACUUAAGCAUAUCAAUAAGCGGAGGA